This is a long non-coding RNA of Sinocyclocheilus grahami, 93 nucleotides long. RefSeq lists it as uncharacterized. The transcript is spliced from 3 exons. NCBI's taxonomy places the organism in Eukaryota, Metazoa, Chordata, Actinopteri, Cypriniformes, Cyprinidae. The record is from RefSeq and is a predicted model, not a curated record.
UAAGACUGCAGAUCUUUAAAGCUGCAGUCCCUAACUUUUGGCGCUCUAGCGGUUAGUAAACAGAAUUGCGUGCAUCUUGCGGAAGAACGCUGU